Molecule: ribosomal RNA, 301 nt
Filed under: uncultured bacterium
Lineage: Bacteria
Description: partial 16S ribosomal RNA
Rfam family: Bacterial small subunit ribosomal RNA
Source: RNAcentral
CAGUCGCCGCGGUAAUACGAAGGGUGCAAGCGUUAAUCGGAAUUACUGGGCUUAAAGCGCGCGUAGGUGGUUUGGUAAGAUGGAUGUGAAAUCCCCGGGCUCAACCUGGGAACUGCAUCCAUAACUGCCUGACUAGAGUACGGUAGAGGGUGGUGGAAUUUCCUGUGUAGCGGUGAAAUGCGUAGAUAUAGGAAGGAACACCAGUGGCGAAGGCGACCACCUGGACUGAUACUGACACUGAGGUGCGAAAGCGUGGGGAGCAAACAGGAUUAGAUACCCCUGUAGUCCCUGUCUCUUAUAC